GCCGGGCAUGGUGGCGCAUGCCUGUAGUCCCAGCUACUCGGGAGGCUGAGAUGGGAGAAUAGCUUGAACCUGGGAGGCAGAAGUUGCAGUGAGCUGAGAUCAUGCCACUGCACUGCAGCCUGGGUGACAGAACAAGACUCCAUCUCAA
RNAcentral lists this small RNA (148 nucleotides) under Macaca fascicularis (crab-eating macaque). Its description in RNAcentral is "Metazoan signal recognition particle RNA (ENSMFAG00000063393.1)". Lineage: Eukaryota; Metazoa; Chordata; Mammalia; Primates; Cercopithecidae. The record is from Rfam by way of RNAcentral.